CAGAGGGGUGCAAGCGUUAAUCGGGAAUUACUGGGCGUAAAGCGCGCGUAGGUGGUUUGUUAAGUUGGAUGUGAAAUCCCCGGGCUCAACCUGGGAACUGCAUCCAAAAACUGGCAAGCUAGAGUAUGGUAGAGGGUGGUGGAAUUUCCUGUGUAGCGGUGAAAUGCGUAGAUAUAGGAAGGAACACCAGUGGCGAAGGCGACCACCUGGACUGAUACUGACACUGAGGUGCGAAAGCGUGGGGGAGCAAACAGGAUU
RNAcentral lists this ribosomal RNA (258 nucleotides) under uncultured bacterium. Its description in RNAcentral is "partial 16S ribosomal RNA". It matches the Rfam family "Bacterial small subunit ribosomal RNA", at positions 525 to 779 of the family's 1533-position model. The record is from RNAcentral.